UGCGCGUGCUACACUGCAGUCGAACGAUGAUCCCGCUUGCUGGGGGAUUAGUGGCGAACGGGUGAGUAACACGUGAGUAACCUGCCCUUGACUCUGGGAUAAGCCUGGGAAACUGGGUCUAAUACCGGAUACGACCAUCUGGCGCAUGUCAUGGUGGUGGAAAGCUUUUGUGGUUUUGGAUGGACUCGCGGCCUAUCAGCUUGUUGGUGGGGUAAUGGCCUACCAAGGCGACGACGGGUAGCCGGCCUGAGAGGGUGACCGGCCACACUGGGACUGAGACACGGCCCAGACUCCUACGGGAGGCAGCAGUGGGGAAUAUUGCACAAUGGGCGCAAGCCUGAUGCAGCGACGCCGCGUGAGGGAUGACGGCCUUCGGGUUGUAAACCUCUUUCAGUAGGGAAGAAGCGAAAGUGACGGUACCUGCAGAAGAAGCGCCGGCUAACUACGUGCCAGCAGCCGCGGUAAUACGUAGGGCGCAAGCGUUAUCCGGAAUUAUUGGGCGUAAAGAGCUCGUAGGCGGUUUGUCGCGUCUGCUGUGAAAGACCGGGGCUCAACUCCGGUUCUGCAGUGGGUACGGGCAGACUAGAGUGCAGUANGGGAGACUGGAAUUCCUGGUGUAGCGGUGAAAUGCGCAUAUAUCAGGAGGAACACGAUGGCGAAAGCAGGUCUCUGGGCUGUA
This 679-nucleotide ribosomal RNA is filed under the name Arthrobacter sp. MYb23. Its description in RNAcentral is "bacterial SSU rRNA". It matches the Rfam family "Bacterial small subunit ribosomal RNA", at positions 41 to 738 of the family's 1533-position model. The record is from RNAcentral. Lineage: Bacteria; Bacillati; Actinomycetota; Actinomycetes; Micrococcales; Micrococcaceae.